Molecule: ribosomal RNA, 510 nt
Filed under: Marinococcus sp. HOB7
Lineage: Bacteria; Bacillati; Bacillota; Bacilli; Caryophanales; Bacillaceae
Description: bacterial SSU rRNA
Rfam family: Bacterial small subunit ribosomal RNA
Source: RNAcentral
GGGAAGCCGGCGGACUCCUUCGGGAGGAAACCGGUGCGAACGAGCGGCGGACGGGUGAGUAACACGUGGGCAACCUGCCGGACUGAUGGGAAUAACCCCGGGAAACCGGGGCUAAUGCCCAAUACGCCCUGACCUCGCCUGAGGUCAGCGGUAAAGCAGGGAUCUUCGGAUCCUUGCACAGUCCGAUGGGCCCGCGGCGCAUUAGCUAGUUGGAGAGGUAAGGGCUCCCCAAGGCGACGAUGCGUAGCCGACCUGAGAGGGUGAUCGGCCACACUGGGACUGAGACACGGCCCAGACUCCUACGGGAGGCAGCAGUAGGGAAUCAUCCGCAAUGGGCGAAAGCCUGACGGUGCAACGCCGCGUGAGUGAUGAAGGUUUUCGGAUCGUAAAGCUCUGUUGACAGGGAAGAUCCCACGUCAGUCGAACAGGCUGGCGUGCUGACGGUACCUGUCCAGAAAGCCCCGGCUAACUACGUGCCAGCAGCCGCGGUAAUACGUAGGGGGCAAGCGU